This 497-nucleotide ribosomal RNA is filed under the name uncultured bacterium. RNAcentral describes it as "partial 16S ribosomal RNA". It matches the Rfam family "Bacterial small subunit ribosomal RNA", at positions 28 to 507 of the family's 1533-position model. The record is from RNAcentral.
GAUGAACGCUGGCGGCGUGCCUAAUACAUGCAAGUCGAGCGAACAGAUGAGGAGCUUGCUCCUCUGACGUUAGCGGCGGACGGGUGAGUAACACGUGGAUCACCUACCUAUAAUACUGGGAUAACUUCGGGAAACAGGAGCUAAUACCGGAUCAUAUAUUGAACCGCAUGGUUCAAUAGUGCAAGACGGUUUUCCUGUCACUUAUAGAUGGAUCCGCGCCGGAUUAGCUAGUUGGUAAGGUAACGGCUUACCAAGGCGACGAUGCGUAGCUGACCUGAGAGGGUGAUCAGCCACACUGGAACUGAGACACGGUCCAGACUCCUACGGGAGGCAGCAGUGGGGAAUAUUGGACAAUGGGCGAAAGCCUGAUCCAGCCAUACCGCGUGAGUGAAGAAGGUCUUCGGGUCGUAAAGCCCUUUUGUUGGGAAAGAAAAGAAGCAGGUGUAUACCCCGCUGUUCUGACGGUACCCAAAGAAUAAGCACCGGCUAACUUCGUG